Molecule: long non-coding RNA, 508 nt
Organism: Hibiscus syriacus
Lineage: Eukaryota; Viridiplantae; Streptophyta; Magnoliopsida; Malvales; Malvaceae
Exons: 2
Source: RefSeq, a predicted model, not a curated record
UUUUCCUUGCUCAAUAUUCAGAAUUCGUUGUUUUUGACAAUUCAAUCUGCCUUCGGUUUUCAAUUUCCACAAAAUAUGAUUUCGCUUUCAUUUUCUUACUCGAAUCUAAAGGUUUUUGUUUCCAUUGGCAGUAAUCUAUACAACUUUUGUGGUGUUCCUUUGGCAUUUUGGACUUAUAAGCUCUUGUUGCUGAGCUUUACUAUUUACUUUGGUGGAAGAAGAGAUUAAUUGGAAGUAGCUCACAAGUUGAAGAUGAUUACACCAAAUAUGCAAAGGAACUGGGUUCAUCUCUUCUGCUGGAAGAAAUCUGAUUCUUUGCAUGCAUCCACCAAUAACAACAACAUUCAAGAUUUAGUCAAAGACCAAGCCAUCAAUGGCAUUGUUGAGUCAGAUUUGGAACUCGGGUCAAGCAAGGAUUUUCUGCUAAAGGGCUACGGCGAAGAGGGUAUUGAAUCAGAGCUCAUGAAACUUCACAAUCUGGCCGGUCCACCGAGAUUCCUCUUCACAA